AUUACAGCAAUGAGAUGGAAAGUACGGAUGGACUGUUAUCUAACAGAGAGCUUGGGCAGCUGAAAACAAGCGAUAAAGGAAAUCUGGAAAAUGGCCAUUGAGCAGCGCUUCGAGUGAAUGAUUCAUAAGACAGCGACGGAUGCACCCGUUAUCGUGCUAGAGUAUAAUCGAUUGUUUCGACGUACUUGAUGAGGAUAUCUAUGUGAAUAGAUAUCAAAUAGAGGUGGUAGCACGCAAAAGCGUCCUCAAA
This 250-nucleotide non-coding RNA is filed under the name Enterococcus sp. RNAcentral's name for it is "T-box sequence". It matches the Rfam family "T-box leader". Rfam says of the family: Uncharged tRNA acts as the effector for transcription antitermination of genes in the T-box leader family. Lineage: Bacteria; Bacillati; Bacillota; Bacilli; Lactobacillales; Enterococcaceae. The record is from RNAcentral.